AAGUCGUAACAAGGUCUCCGUUGGUGAACCAGCGGAGGGAUCAUUACCGGGUCGAACGACUGCCCGAACCCUAUGGGUGCACACUUAUUUCGAGAAACCUAUUCCGCUGCGGCGGGCCGCUCGCUGGGGGAGCCCUGGGGCCGAGAGGCCGGCCCGCCAAAGCGACUUUCUGGAGAGACACUGCCUGGAAAAAUCCUCUGAGAGGGCACCGAAGCCUUCCUUGCGGAAGCAUUCACAACCCACAACAAUGGAUCUCUUGGCUCUG
Molecule: unclassified non-coding RNA, 265 nt
Filed under: fungal sp.
Lineage: Eukaryota; Fungi
Description: partial internal transcribed spacer region
Rfam family: Eukaryotic small subunit ribosomal RNA (bases 1-46)
Source: RNAcentral